AUUCCAGCUCCAAUAGCGUAUAUUAAAGUUGUUGCAGUUAAAACGCUCGUAGUCGGAUUUCGGGGCCUGCCUGCCGGUCUGCCGAUGGGUAUGCACUGGCAGGCGCGUCCUUCCUUCCGGAGACUGUCCCUACUCUUAACUGAGCGGGGUCGGGAGACGGAUCGUUUACUUUGAAAAAAUCAGAGUGUUUCAAGCAGGCAGCUCGCUCUUGCAUGGAUUAGCAUGGGAUAAUGAAAUAGGACUUUGGUGCUAUUUUGUUGGUUUCGAACACCGAAGUAAUGAUUAACAGGGACAGUCAGGGGCACUCGUAUUCCGCCGAGAGAGGUGAAAUUCUCAGACCAGCGGAAGACGAACCACUGCGAAAGCAUUUGCCAGGGAUGUUUUCAUCA
This 389-nucleotide ribosomal RNA is filed under the name Haptolina sp. RNAcentral's name for it is "partial small subunit ribosomal RNA". It matches the Rfam family "Eukaryotic small subunit ribosomal RNA", at positions 582 to 975 of the family's 1831-position model. The record is from RNAcentral. Lineage: Eukaryota; Haptophyta; Prymnesiales; Prymnesiaceae.